Long non-coding RNA from Harpia harpyja (harpy eagle), 6392 nucleotides. RefSeq lists it as uncharacterized. The transcript has 2 exons. The record is from RefSeq and is a predicted model, not a curated record. Lineage: Eukaryota; Metazoa; Chordata; Aves; Accipitriformes; Accipitridae.
UUUUCAGAUGGAUUUAAUGCAUUUUGAACACACUGGUAAUCUGUCCGGAUAGGAAUGCAACCAAAACCACGCGUAACAAAGGGCGCCUGUGCAGCAGGGUGCUCUUGGAAACGUGAAAACGUGUGGUUUAGGGAUUAUUUCAGGGAGGGGAGGUGCAAGAUGUGAGCCAUGUAUGGGAGUUUUGUUUAUUGCUGUGACAGGAGAGAGGCAUUACUGAACUUCCAGAAUAAUCCCUUUCCUUUGCCUCCACCCUGGGCUGGAAAAAUGACCUUUAUAGCAAGAUUAUGGCUGACCUUUGUACCGUGACUGUCAAAACAGAUGCUAUCUGCUUGACAGUUGUAGGCGUAUUUUCAUGUGCUUAUCUGCCAGGUAUGUGAUAGAAUGAGAAAAGGCAUGAUUUCACUAAUUACACCAGGUUUUGGUAAUUAUGAUGAAACAGCAAUGAUAUCCCAUUAAUGACCCUCCUGGUCUAUUGCCAGGGAGAUGCGUUGCACAGAGCGUAGAUGAAGGUCUUGCUCCUAAUACGGUCUCAGCGGCUCCUCGGUUCCAGCCAUCUCAGGUUGAUAUCAAAGCUGCAACAGCUGAGACGGUUCCAUUAGAAAAUGAAGAUGGGAUGCACAGACUAAUUUGUCCUACUGAGAUCCCUAUUAGUACAGCAGCUCGUCCUUCUUUUACCCUUUAAUUAAUCCCUGUUUUUCAUUCUCCCGGUAACACGACUUCUUAUUACUCAUAAAAAUCCUUAUUACUAAUAAAAUCUCAGGUUUUACCACUUCUUCACAGUGUGGGUGAUGUGAUAAUCUUUCUCCCACUGACAAGGUUUUGUGAGGCUGAAUGUUUCCAGCAUUAUUCACUGUCCGAGAGUAUGUCAAAAAUGGGUUUUGCAGGUGAUGUUGAUUAGCUGUCAGCUUUUGAAAGGGGCAGUAAGUGCUAGCUGUUGUGAGAUGGACUGGCUGUGUUAUUUGACUAUGCUUCUCAUUUUGGAAAUUGACUAAUUAUAAGCCCAGGAUUUAAAACCUAAAUUCAGCCUGAAUGCCCUCUGGAGUUUGAGGCUAGUUUGAAGAUGUUUUAAUUGCACACCCAUUUAUUAAUAGAAGCUUACGGUGAGGUACAAAGAAGAAAACUUUAGUUUUUUUACUUCUGCACAUGUUGUCCUUAAAAAUGACCAAGGCACCUUAAUUCUGCUGAAGAUCCAAGACUUGGUGCACAGGAAUCUCUCUUUGGCUGGUUAGUAUGGAAACGCUCUCUUCGUUUCUGCUCAUGACAUUGCAAGAGGCAUGAAGUCCUCUACAUGCCAGGCAGUGUCCUUCUGUUCACAGACCUCAUUGACAGGAAGCAUUUAUUUCUGACCAGUUUCAGGACUGACUUUUGGGGGAGAAGAACGGUCUUUAAUGAUGACCUUAAAGACUUAAUGUUCCUUACACAGGCCUCCUGUGUGCCCCAGUGGCGAAAUCCUGCUCUCGGGAGGAAGUACACCAUAAAGUAAUUGCAGCGAGUAGCAUGGAGCUGUGGGACUGCCCUUGUUUAUUGUGUGGGCUCUUGCACAGCGCAGCAUUCAGGGCUGAGUGGUUCUUUUAGCCGUCGAAAUAGCAGCUUGUUCUCCCUACACCUGCGGUGUUGCGGGUAUUUCCGCACCUCGUUACCUCUCCCCGCCGAGCAGUGUUUUCAUAAUGAGGAGGAUACAGAUGGCACAGUGUGCUCCAGGGAAACAGCUUGCCAUGGAGCCCAAACCCACGGGCAUGGCCCUGCCCUGGAAGGGCUGGCACCUCGCCGGGGUGACUGGCGGCAUGGCUUGCAUGUCCCUGUGGGUGUGUGGAAAAUGCAGCUCAACAUGGGAGGUGUUCAGAGCCGGCUGCCAGAGUCCUGCGCCUGUCAGCGGGCGGGUGUCAUUCUCACUGGCUGCUUUCAGUGAGUUUCUCUUUGGAUGUCCUUACAGGUGCUUAGGGGAGAACAAAAGCCCAGUACUGAAACUGCCUUUUUCAGUGUGUUACAGCUUUGUCAUCUGUCUGGUCUUCUAAGAGUGUCUCCAGGAAGCUGAAUGGCAUGGCAUGCGGCAUCCCUCGCUUUCACCAGGAUGCUGUUUCCAUAGCCCAGUGGAUCACAAAGCUUAACUUCUGAUAGUUCAGUUUUGCUUGUGUAGGGCUUAGAUGCACAGCUGCAAAUUAUGUGGUCUUAUUUAAAGAUAAAUUAACAUGUAAAAAUAAUUUAGGGGGGGGGUUUAUUAUUUAUUUAAAGAGAAGGAAAAAACCCAGAAGAUCAGAUGACAGCCCUGAGGAAAAUAUGAAGAAGCUAAGUUUCUUUGCCUGAAAACUAUUAUCAUGUUGAAAAAACUGCAGCCACAGGGCAGAGUUCAGAUGGACUGAGUGAUAUCACAGGCUGUGCAGUAACAUAUGUAUAGCUUCAUCAGUUUAAUUGCAAAGCAAUGUAGAAUAAAAAGUUUAUUAAAAAAAACCCUAAACCAUGCAUUCAUCUCAUCGCAUGCUUAUUCUUUAUUAUUGCCUUGAACAUAAAGACCAAAACAUCUUUAAGGAUGUUGAUGUUCAAAGCAGUUCUGGGUAGCUUAUCACAGUGACAACUUGCACAGAUGACAGUGCAGCAGGCAGCAGAGCCCUGAUUUCAGGGAAUUAGCGUGGCUUGGUCUGGGUUGAAUUACUCAAGACUGUUUCUGAUGUUUCAUCCAGUGAUUCAGAAGUCUUGGGUUUACAGAUGUGAUUUAUUUUGUGAAACACAGUGCCUAACUCAUUGCACCUUGACAGUAAAAAGUGAUUGUUUUCUAGUUGCUCAUUGUGUGCUUAGUAUUUCUUGGCUUAUUUUCUAUCACUUUUUUUGCUUUCUAUUUCUUUUCUUCAAAGAUCACGGAAAGGUCAGCAGAUUAACUAUCUCAAUACACUGUUACUUCAACUUCUGUUGUUUCCUUUAGCUCUCUCCCCUUCUCCCUAUUUCUUUUGAAGUCCUUUGGUAUUAAAAAGUUACCUUUCCAGUCUGUUGCCCGCACCUUGCUGUUUCAUUCACUUGUGCUGUUUUACAGGGCUGCCGGUGUGCCAGACCCAUGUUUAUUAACCAUACUCUGCUCUGUAAGAGCAGGGAUAUUCAAUUUGGGGAUUUUCAGGGAAGAAAAGUCAGAAAAAGUUGCAGGCUCCUAAACAUGAAUGCCUCUUUCUUUCCGUGGUUCAGGCAGGCUGACUGCUCCAGGGGAUGGAGAAUGAAAUAAUCAGCUUGGUGUGGUCCAGCCCCAGAAGCUGCAAGCUGGGGACCUUGGUGGACUUUCUCCAAGUGCAGAAAGGCUUGUCUGGUGUCCCCUGGUAGUGCCGUGGCAGCAGGAGCAGCAGGGUGUGUUCUCCAGGAGGCUGCAUGGACAGAGCAUCUUCCAGGGCUGCAGAAGGGCAUGCAAGUGGAAAACUGGAAGGGUUUUUCUCCUGGGGUGGGUGGUUGCUGCCUGAACACCCCUUGCCUCCAAGGGGAGAGGCAGGUAGGUCAGGCCUGAUCCCUGCGGAUGUGCUUGGAGGUUAAUCUUUUGCUUUCCCAACAGGACUAGUGGCUCUUCAGGAUAUCUCUUCAUCUCCCAGCGGCCUCGUUUGGAGGAGCGCAGCUGAGCACUGCUGCUGCUGGUGGCAGUCAGCAUGGUGGUGCCAUCUGGGGUGGUGGCCAGGGCACCUAAACCUGACUGUAAUUUCUCCAGCUCUUGAUUUGAAGCGCUUUGAGUCAGCACGUUGUUUCCUGUCCUGCUGCUGGACUCCUGGAUAAAUACAGACUCCAGCCUUGUCAGGUUUUCAGGUUGCACUGAUUAAGUCUUGGCCAACUACAAAUCCAUGCCAAAACCCAUAACUCAGGCAUAGGUUUCCAUCCAUGCUCUCCUUGGGUAGCCCCUACAAGUGGUUUUAGGCAAGACAGUGAAUGGUUUUGAAGACCCCAUGCUACCAAGACAUGUGCACUGCAGCUGCAGCUUAGAUUUAGGCCAUGAGGAUUUUGUUUUUCUAAAGGCUUCAAGAAAGUACUUUCAAGAGAAGUACUGGCAUACUUGCUUUUUUUUUUUUUUUUUUUUUUUUGCUGGGCUGAUGUUGAUCCUGGAGGGUGUCUUUAAAUAGCCUUUAAAAAUGAAAAGCCCUUGCCUAUGUGAAACCAGGUGUUUUAGAUAAACUUGCAGCUGUACGCACCCACAAAAGAUAAGCAGUGUGCACGGCCUGUAUUAAUGCUCCCAAUGGUAUGCUCCUGCCUUGAACUUGUACUUUGGUCACAGUGCUCAUACACUUUGGUAUCUUAAAAGUCCAUUAAGAGAAAUGCCGUGUAAUUCAGGUUGCUGUUUAUUAAUUUACUAUUAUUGUGAGCAGGCUGGCUAAUGAUUAUCUCUGAUCUGGCUCUGAAUCACAGCUGUAGGAAGUGAGAAAUAGUUCCCUAAUGGUCUCGCAGCUUAAUAAUUUCUAAGUGAAAAUUUACUUGGAGUGUAUCAUUAACAACAGGAGGGAUGCAAAAAAAAGCUUGGUCAAGGCAUUUGGUGUGGAUGUGCGUCACGAAAUGGGACGCUGGGAAUUUAGGAUCUUGCCUGUAGGGCUGGUAGCUCAUUGCUAGCACUGCCUCCCGUCCCUCGCAGAGCUGUCCUUUUUCAUUUACUUGCAGCUUGGCUCGGUUACAAGCGUAUGUGUCGAAAGUUUUAUCUACUGAGUGGGUACCAAAAUGUGUUGGCCUGUUUGGAGAGCAGAGCUUGAGAAAGGAGCCGGUUUACGUAAUUUUGUUUUUUUCAAUGUGGCUUCUCUUUAGAUGCAGCACUGUAGUUUGUUGAGAUGAGCUUUUUUGUGCAUCUUUGGAAAACCACCAUUUGUACCUACAUUUCCAAGACUUUCUGACCUUGAGGUCUCUGCGGCCUCUGGCAGAACAAAACGUUUUCUUUGAUAUCAAACCGUUUUUCAGCUCUCCAUUGUGGUGCAAAAAUAUGUGUCGGGCGGGAGGUCAUUUUUUAGGCCUGCCCAGCCUUUCUGAUGGGAAGAUCAUUUGUUUGUGUUGCCAGUGGCUGUGGGAAGAGGGAAAAAACCCUUCAUUUUAGAGGAGGUGACUACUGCUGCAGGGUGCUGAGUUGCGUGCUUGCGUCUGCCAGGGACCCUGGGCAUGAUGCUGGACGAGUCACCUCAACCAUGGCUGGGGCAACUCACUGCAUCUGCCCCCAUCUUUGCAAAACUGGUCUGAGGCCAUGAGGAUGGAUGUGAGGAGCAUCAAGCUCUUGGAGGUGCCGCCUGAAGUCCAGUGGAGCUGCUCUUCAAACGCGUCAUUUUUAUAAGGCUUAAAUAUUGUGGGAGCUCAAGUCUUCAUCUGCUGUUUGCCUUGCUCUCUGCUACUCUUCUGUGGCUGUAAAAUCGGGGAUGAUGCCACCCUCUCAGAGAAAUACUGGGAGUUUGCAUGAACUUUUGAGGGACCAAGUAAUAAUAAUCCCCAAGGAAAAUGUGUAACUGUCCUUCAACCAGCCUUUGAGUAGUGUGUAAUGAUUAAGACCUGUGCUUACACCUGGUUUGGGGAAGGGUGAGGGAAAUGCUGAAUAGUCACUUGUUCAAGAAGAGUACAACAUUCUUGGUGCUGACUUAGGCAAGGGUCUAGGUAGCCCCAUGUGCACUCAUGUAAUUAAAAGCCUGUCCUGCAGCUUAUAGGGUCAGAUGCGCAGGUAGAUGGGGCAGGAAACCUUCAUCCUGGCAUCUCUGAACUUGAGUCCUCAACUUAGACUUUUCUCAUGCAGCUUGUUGUGUAGGGUGGCAUGUUCAACGGUAUGACUGAAAACAACCCUGCCUUCAGCCAACAGAAUUAGCGAGGGGACUGAGGAGGUACUGAGUGAGGGGAAGGUCUGUUUGCCCCCCUCUGUAAUUUCCAGCAGCAGCCGAGAGUGGGGGCUAGGGAAGAGUCUAUGGCUGGGAUGCCACAGGGCAUUGUCCGAGCUUCCAUUUAUUUACAACUUGAGAUACCAGAGGCUGUGCCUUUCUUCCUGAUAGUCCCUGAUAAACUUUCCUUCCAUGAAUUCAUCUUAAUGAUUUUUUCCAGCCAAGUGAACUUUUGGCCUGCUCAGCAGAGUUCCCCUGUUUAACCGUGUCCUCUGUGGUGGUUCUGGCCGAGUUUCCCCCACAGUCCUUCCUGCUGCUGCUUUUGCACUUUGCAAACCUUAAAAAAAAUCGCUGAGGUGGAGAGACAUCUCCUGUCGCCUGCUGGCAACCAUUGACCAUUGCAAAGUCAAGUGCAUGGGGUUCAAGACGCCAGGUUCAAGACUGCGUGUCCAUCCUGGAUACCAAGUGAGGCACGGAGAGGCUGUGAUGCUAAACCCCCACCAGCCUGGGCUUGUGUCCAGCUUUAUUCUUUCAGCAGGCUGCCACGAUGUCCUGUAGAGGAGAAGUGAUACAAGAGGAUUAGUUCUUUUACAGAAA